UACGUAGGGCGCAAGCGUUAUCCGGAAUUAUUGGGCGUAAAGAGCUCGUAGGCGGUUUGUCGCGUCUGCUGUGAAAAUCCGAGGCUCAACCUCGGACUUGCAGUGGGUACGGGCAGACUAGAGUGUGGUAGGGGAGACUGGAAUUCCUGGUGUAGCGGUGGAAUGCGCAGAUAUCAGGAGGAACACCGAUGGCGAAGGCAGGUCUCUGGGCCAUUACUGACACUGAGAAGCGAAAGCAUGGGGAGCGAACAGG
RNAcentral lists this ribosomal RNA (253 nucleotides) under uncultured bacterium. RNAcentral's name for it is "partial 16S ribosomal RNA". It matches the Rfam family "Bacterial small subunit ribosomal RNA", at positions 524 to 776 of the family's 1533-position model. The record is from RNAcentral.